RNAcentral lists this ribosomal RNA (718 nucleotides) under uncultured fungus. RNAcentral's name for it is "eukaryotic LSU rRNA". The stretch from base 414 to 718 matches the Rfam family "Eukaryotic large subunit ribosomal RNA", at positions 1 to 303 of the family's 3401-position model. The record is from RNAcentral. Lineage: Eukaryota; Fungi.
CACUUAUAUUUAAAACCCACUCUUUGAACGUAUAAAAUUUUAUGUAUUAAUGAUAAAAAUAAAAGAUCACUUUCAACAACGGAUCUCUUGGCUCUCGCAUCGAUGAAGAACGUAGCGAAGUGCGAUAAGUAAUGUGAAUUGCAGUAUUCCGUGAAUCAUCGAAUCUUUGAACGCAUAUUGCACUUUCUGGUAUUCCGGAAAGUAUGCCUGUUUGAGGGUCAGUUAAAUAAAAAUCGGUGUUGUUGCUGCCUUUCGUGGUGACGCGUCGGAAUUGAGUUGUCUUACCUUCGGUUAAGUGACUUAAAAUUUUGUAUGAUUUUUGAACGUAUUUAAAUUUAUUUGUACGUUUGAGAUAUCGAAUAUUUAUUAGGUUCGGUCAUUCUAACGACUCGUGCCUAUAAUUUUUCAUUAAAUGACCUCAAAUCAGGUAAGAAUACCCGCUGAACUUAAGCAUAUCAAUAAGCGGAGGAAAAGAAAAUAACAAUGAUUCCCUUAGUAACGGCGAGUGAAGGGGGAAAAGCUCAAAUUUUAAAUCUGCUAGGUUUUACUUAUCAGAAUUGUAAUUUGAAGAAGCGUUUUCCGCGUCUCGGUUGGCCCAAAUCCUUUGGGAUAAGGUAUCAUGGAGGGUGAGAAUCCCGUUCGGUUGACCUUAUGACGCUCUACGAUACGCUCUCUAAGAGUCGAGUUGUUUGGGAUGGCAGCUCAAAUGGGAGGUAAA